RNAcentral lists this ribosomal RNA (253 nucleotides) under uncultured bacterium. RNAcentral describes it as "partial 16S ribosomal RNA". It matches the Rfam family "Bacterial small subunit ribosomal RNA", at positions 524 to 776 of the family's 1533-position model. The record is from RNAcentral.
UACGUAGGGCGCGAGCGUUGUCCGGAAUUAUUGGGCGUAAAGAGCUCGUAGGCGGCCUGUUGCGUCCGCUGUGAAAUCCCAGGGCUCAACCCUGGGCGUGCAGUGGAUACGGGCAGGCUGGAGGCAGGCAGGGGAGAACGGAAUUCCCGGUGUAGCGGUGAAAUGCGCAGAUAUCAGGAAGAACACCCGUGGCUAAGGCGGCUCUCUAGUACGGUACUGACGCUGAGACGCGAAAGCGUGGGGAGCGAACAGG